CAGUACUAUACCGAUGAAAACCAUUUUUGUCCCAAGUGAAAAGAUGAGCCAAAAAACACGGAGCCCAGGUUGAAAAAUACAGGAGUACUCCUUCGACGUUGAUCUCUUUGAAAGGUAACUGAUGAAGGUGCACCAUCAGUUUUGGUUUGGCGUAAAGGAAGUAGAAUCUUAAAAAUAGCACAUGGAUUAGAUUGCAAAAUGCACAAAUGGAAACUGCAAACAAGAUGUCAUCAUGUUGUUUUCUGGUUGCACCUUAACAUUUUAAUAGGAAGAAACACAAAGAAUGAAUGGAACCUUAAACUUACUGGUUCCAGAAGUGCACUUCACAAGUAAAUUACAGGGCAUCAAUCAUGACACUGACCAGACCUGCCUUAUACAAAUCACUUCCUGAAUGUUCCUGAGAGGUAAACAAAGAACAAACAAACGGCAAAAGAAACAGGAGCCUUGAGAUGGGAUUUUAUUAAUACAACAGGACCCACACUUUUCUAUCCUGUAUACAAAUUCAUUUAUGAAAGAAUUCCUUUUGAUUCAGGCUAGUUUAAGACAUCUGUUUUGUUAUUUAAUUGUUCUGGAUUUUUUGUGAACUGUCCUCUCAAUUUCAUCAUCUGCCACUUGUGUUGUUCUGUAAAUAAUGAUUGAGGAGUCAAUAAAACACUUUUGGUGGGA
Long non-coding RNA from Thalassophryne amazonica, 666 nucleotides. RefSeq lists it as uncharacterized. The record is from RefSeq and is a predicted model, not a curated record. The transcript has 2 exons. NCBI's taxonomy places the organism in Eukaryota, Metazoa, Chordata, Actinopteri, Batrachoidiformes, Batrachoididae.